RNAcentral lists this transfer RNA (87 nucleotides) under Candidatus Falkowiibacteriota bacterium. RNAcentral describes it as "tRNA-Leu". It matches the Rfam family "tRNA". Rfam says of the family: Transfer RNA (tRNA) molecules are approximately 80 nucleotides in length. The record is from RNAcentral. Lineage: Bacteria; Candidatus Falkowiibacteriota.
GCCCAGGUGGAGAAAUUGGUAGACGCGCGGGAUUCAAAAUCCCGUUCUGGCAACAGAGUGUGGGUUCGAUUCCCCCCCUGGGCACAA